This 23-nucleotide non-coding RNA is filed under the name Arabidopsis thaliana (thale cress). Lineage: Eukaryota; Viridiplantae; Streptophyta; Magnoliopsida; Brassicales; Brassicaceae. The record is from RNAcentral.
AGAGCAUGCACAAGUCCACACUC